This 717-nucleotide ribosomal RNA is filed under the name uncultured Bacteroidota bacterium. RNAcentral's name for it is "bacterial SSU rRNA". It matches the Rfam family "Bacterial small subunit ribosomal RNA", at positions 159 to 877 of the family's 1533-position model. The record is from RNAcentral. Lineage: Bacteria; Pseudomonadati; Bacteroidota.
UGAAUUAAUCCCCCAUAAGACUACGACAUGGCAUCAUGAUGUAGUUAAAGCUCCGGCGGUUAAGGAUGGGCAUGCGGUACAUUAGCUAGUUGGUGAGGUAAUGGCUCACCAAGGCUACGAUGUAUAGGGGGUCUGAGAGGAUGAUCCCCCACACUGGUACUGAGACACGGACCAGACUCCUACGGGAGGCAGCAGUAGGGAAUAUUGGUCAAUGGACGCAAGUCUGAACCAGCCAUGCCGCGUGAAGGAUGAAGGCCCUCUGGGUCGUAAACUUCUUUUAUUAGGGAAGAAAGCAUGGGAUGCGUCCCAAACUGACGGUACUUAAUGAAUAAGGAUCGGCUAACUUCGUGCCAGCAGCCGCGGUAAGACGAAGGAUCCAAGCGUUGUCCGGAUUUACUGGGUUUAAAGGGUGCGUAGGCGGAAAAUUAAGUCAGUGGUGAAAGCCCGCAGCUCAACUGUGGAACUGCCAUUGAAACUGAUUUUCUUGAAUAUAGCUGAGGCAGAUGGAAUAUAACAUGUAGCGGUGAAAUGCUUAGAUAUGUUAUAGAACACCGAUUGCGAAGGCAGUCUGCUAAACUAUUAUUGACGCUGAGGCACGAAAGCGUGGGGAGCGAACAGGAUUAGAUACCCUGGUAGUCCACGCCCUAAACGUUGAUUACUCGCUGUUGGCGAUAUACUGUCAGUGGCUAAGCGAAAGCGUUAAGUAAUCCACCUGGG